This 27021-nucleotide long non-coding RNA is filed under the name Ananas comosus (pineapple). Its description in RNAcentral is "long non-coding RNA (ACOM_LNC001853)". The record is from RNAcentral. Lineage: Eukaryota; Viridiplantae; Streptophyta; Magnoliopsida; Poales; Bromeliaceae.
UUUAGGCUUCGGGUCCGCAGGGAGGACCGAGGCGAUAUCGUAAAUUCAUGAAAACGGAUUUGAAGCAUCGUGGCACAUAACCGAAGACAUUUAAUUUUCGGAUCGUGAAUUGGAGGCCGUUCGGGUGGUCGCGUGAGAGAUCGGGCCAAACCGGGUGCCGGGUGCCGCGGGCGGCCGAUUGCAAGUGUCGACAAGCAAUCGGAAUGCGAAAUAAGGUGGGUUGUGUUUACCGAAGCGACUAGGUUGCCCUUUAUGUCUAAGAAAUGAGAUUUCAUAUUGAUGCAUAUUGACAUAAUAUAAGAAUGUGAAUAGAAUGCAUGUUAACAUACUAUAGAAAUGCUAAAUGUAAUGCAUAAUGAAUUAAGUGCUAAAAGAAUGCAUGAGAUGCUAAGUAUGGACUAUUUUGGAUAAUGACUAUAUGUAUGUUGACAAAUCAUGUGAUGCUAGUGGUAUAUGUGCAUGAUGAUAUAUUAUGAAUUUACAUAUUGUGGAUUAUGUUAAAUAGAAAAACAUACUUGAUGACAUAUUGCCAUGUUGUGGAACAUAGUGGACAAUCUAUAUAUAUAUUAGAUCGAGUGGCAUUAAACCUAGCAUCUUGAACCUAACAAACACUUGUGGUGAUUGAUCAUAUAUAUCCUGGUGUCAUUCAUGUAUGUUAGGACCCUAUUAUUGUGUAAAUGUGAGAGUUGGACUUGAACAUUAGUAAACAAGGGUGACAAUGACAAUAGAGACAUGAUUGUCAUCAAGAAAGUGAUUGUUAAACAUAGUUUAACCAAGAGUGGCAUUGGACCAUAUAUAGAGAGUGGCAUGAUUAAAUAGGUAGAAACCUAUUGUGACAUUGGCAUUGUGACUAGUGGCUAUGAAUCCUCAAGUUGAGGAUUGAUCGAUACUCACGAUAAGUCUUGGCUUGAGGGAGGUAGCUCCCCCUCGGGCGGUGCGCUCCGGAGUUGGUCACCACUAGGCGUGGUAAAGUCCCCCCAGAAGACGGUCCCUAGGGAGGUUCGAGUCCCCCGCUAUUAAGGGAUUUUGGGUUGUGAGUUAUUGGGGUUAACAUGGUUAACCGGUAAGAUUGGGUCAAAGCCAAGUGAAUGUACAGCAUUAUGUGUUACGGGUUUGGUAUCCCAGUUAAGAGGAUUUAGGGCUGAGGUGUAUGUGAGACGUCCAUCACCUUGAGCCUAGUUUUGGUGCGGUAUUCCGCAGUUGAUUGACUCGAGACCGAAUCGGGUGGUUAGCUUGGCUAGGGUAGAGGAAAACCUUAGGAGCAAAUAACCAAUGAUGUAAAGUGAUAAGAUGUAUAAAUUAUGAAAAAGCUAUGGAUAGCAUGAUACAAAGUAAAAUCAUUUAUUCUACUUGUAUAGUUGCAUGAUUCGCAUAUAGCAUGGCAUUAUUGCAUUCGUGAGGCAUAGCAUGGUUUUAUUAGUUGCAUAAUAAAGAUAUAUAUCUAUCUGUUUAUUGAACUAACUUGCAGUUGCCUCCCUUGGACCUAUUGGUCGAGCUUUUCCCUUGGGUGGCCGUACCCACUGGGAACCAUGGAGUUGGUUCUCACCCCACGUGGUUUUGGGGUGUUACAGGUUCGCACAUGAGCGGCGCGGCGGCGCGAGGCGAGGGCGUAGUUCCAUAGUUAGCGCCCUACCACCGAGACCAGAGAUAGCGGUACCCUGAGUCGGCCUUACUUAGGGAUGUAAGAAAAUGAAAAGGAUCAAGUUGUAAUAAUAUUGUUAAAGCUAGAUUGUAUUUGGAAGCUAAAAAGAAUGUAUUAUGUAAUUGUGAUGUAAAAUGAAUCUAAUGUGAAUGAAUGUAAUAAUAUAGGAUGUGUUUAUGUUGUUUGAUACCUUCCAUUAUGCAAUUUUGAUUGAAAUGUGUUCAUGGUUGGAACUUUGUACAUUGUAUUGAUUGCUAUGCCUUGAACGUACAGGGGAGACUUUGUCCGCAGUACAGGGGAAACUCUGUCCGUUCGGCGAUCUAUCGGCGGCGCCGCGACCCGGCCAAAUAUCCUACUCUUGGUUGAGGUACCAAGGGUCACCCACGCCGGUGGGUUCCUUUUUCGAGUUGGUUAUCCAGAUUCCUCCGUGAUGUUGUACAAUCAGGUUGUCUAUAUAUUUACUUAUUCCUUUUUGUACGAUACGGAGUGCUAUACGCUAUACUUUAAGUACGUUGAUACGUUCAUCUAAUGACUAAAAUGAGAGAUAAUAAAUGGUAAGAAAUCGUAAUCGGAAAGAAAUAAGAAUCGAUAAGAAUGAACAUCGGCAAGAAAUGAAAUAAUCGAACAGUGUAAUUCGAGUAACCGCUAAGAAAGGAUUCCAAUGGAAAUGGAAUCGGUAGAUACGGUGAGCGGAGCAAGAACUCAGUUAGGUGACGCCUAUUAGGCGCGAGACAGCCGAACUCCACUUCCUUGAGAGUGUACGUGGAGUCGGAUGGUGUUGGACGGCGUGAAAUACUGACUCGGUCGGCCGCCGCUUUAGCAGCGUGUAUGCGGUGCUGUUACCGAGUUCAGUUCGCCACCAUAUUAGGUGUUUGAUCGUAUUGUUAGGCCGCCGCUUUAGCAGCGUGUGCGGUGCAGUUACCAAUCGGGGCCUGCCGCUUUAGCAGCGUGUGCGGGUUGUGGUGAAACCCAUAAGGUAUUCGAGUCCCUAAGGCCUUAGGUAAAGGUGUAUUGAGCUCCCAACCAGAAUUGGGAUACCAUAGCUGGAUGAGUCCAGGUAAUAGGAGAGGUAAGAUCCAAGUAAACUGAGAUCCAAAUUGUGAAAAUAGUGUAUUGGAUCCAAUCAAAUUGAGAUCCAAAUAGAGUAUUGGAUAUAAGAAAUUGUGAUCCAAGUAUAAGUAAGAAUAGGUAGGAUCCAGGUACUGCGAUCCAAGUAUGAGUUGGAUACAAGUUAUUGUGGUGUGAACAAGUUAGAUACAAGAAAUUGUGAUCCAAAUGUACGGUGUGAACAAGUUGGAUACAAGAAAUUGUGAUUCAAAUGUACGGUGUGAACAAGUUGGAUAUAAGAAAUUGUGAUCCCCGCACAAACCAAGCGAAGAAAAAGUGAUACCUUAACCUUAUCCUUACCCACUUAAGCAAACACCCACAAACCAUGCGCCCUCAGAAUAAGGCUAAGACUAAGGGCUCACCUUACCUUUAGGGGGUUAGUGGGGAAAAAAGUUAGGCCGGAGGAUCCGGCCUAACCUUCAACUUACAUCAUAUGACUUAAAUACAUGUAACGCUUCAAGCUCAUUCCCCUUACUACAAACCUUGGAAGGGUGUACAAUAUUUCCCAAAUUUCUAUAAAUACUUAUUCAAAUUCUCAUUUGCCUUACACCCUUCACUCUUUCACGAAACGUUAGAGCUUUAAACCGGUAAGACGUAACCACAUGGCCAUGUCCGGAGUACGACAUGGCUAUGUCGUUCGUCGUCUCAAUCGACGACGCCCUGUCGUCCCGGUAAAACCAGAAAAAAUGAAGGACAAGAAUAGAGGUGACUGGCUCGAGCUGGAAACUUGAAUAGACUUCCUACGACUCCGAAUCUCCUUCCCAAACCAGAAGGAGGAUGAAAGAGAAAGAUUCCCAAAAAGAGAGAGAUUCUACUUUAUUCCGGAAAUCGAAUAAAGGAGAGAGAAAAACUACAGUCGAUUGGUUCCUCUGAACUACCUUGGACAAACGACUCUUUUCUCUAUAGACCCCAAUUCAAUAAAUGUUAAGAUUAGAUCCUUGUGGAUUCAACCUCGAAACCUUCCAUACAUAAACUGAAGAGAUAUCAAAUUUCAAAUCCAUCACUUAAAGCCGAACAACAUCGUCGGCCAAACCUCUCGUACCAAAUUGUCGACACCUCUAGUCUCAACACUACAAAGUAGUCAAUUCUUAGCCUCUUUUGACGACUUCCUUUCAAAUCUUUUCCAUUAAUUACCUAAUUAAUGAGAAAGUAAUGCUAAUAUGGUUCAAAUAACAACUUAUAAUCCGACUAAACCGCUAUCAAGCGUCGCUCGAACGCUGACUAGUAGCCUACCAAAGCGCUAUCUAUAAACUCUCAAAGAUUCUCAAUUUAGAACAUAAACUAGGACUCGAUUUGUCCCCAGGUUCGGCAUCGGAAUAUAUUCCACUCUUAAAACGACUUAUCUUCCAUGAACUACGACAAAAUCACGUCUAAAGAUGCGAGUAAGCGUCGUCCAAGUGACGUCCUUUAGCCUGUGAAACUUGUAAUUAGGCGUCGGGAGUUCUUUAAUCUACACCACGUGAGAUUGGACUAGAAUCACCCCAAGUUCAAAGCUAAUGUAUAAUCCAUAUAACCUUUGGAUUAAAUACUACAAAUAAAUCCUAUGAACUUCUUAUAACUUAACUCAAGAAACGACUAAAAUUAUACAAACAAUCCCGUUCACACCUGGUCGCUCCUGGGAGCUAUGCACUUGUUCAACGGCAAAUCAUUCACCCAAACUGAAGUGGUCUCGUUCACUUGGAGGGAUACAAGAUAUACUAUGAUAUCUUAAUGAAUGUACACGUUUAUGUACUUGUUCAUGAGUUAUAGCUCAUUACUUACGAUAUUUGUAUAACUAGAAGAACUUAACUUACCUUGGAGCUAAUUCAUUCUUCUUCUUAGUACUCUUUCCUUAAUAACACUCAGAGUUACGUACCUGUAAUAUACGAAACAAUGCGGAAAUACUUUAUCUCUUGUUCUCCAAUCUAUGUUACCAUAACUGUUCGAGUUCCGAUUACUGUAUAUACAUGUUAAUGUAACGAAAGUACAUGUGGAACUUAGAUCAUCAAUGAUCAUACAAUGAAAUACUGACUUAGGGCUGGAUUUCCCGCCCUCAACUUGGAAUGUACAAGUCUGUACGAUAAACUCUUGACAACCCAAUACUUAAUACGAACGAACGGUAACACGAGUAAGCGUGUUCGAACACUCCCAGCGAGGGAUGUUUGGCCGUGAGGCCUCAACCGGAUGCGCUGUCUACGAACGGGCACGCCCUAACUCACGGCUUCACCUAACGGCACCCCUCACAUAUGAUGGUGCCCCGGUAAUCCGCGCCGUGUUCGACCUGAUGGAACUCAUCCAGGGAUACUUAAUUUAGUUACAUUAUUUACUACUGUCGUCUCCUAAUAGUGACUCAUCAUAUGUCAAUGUAAAAGUGAACUGUAUAAACACGAGUAACACUAACGGAAUGAUCAAGACCAAUUACUUAUAUAGACUAUCGUACGAUAUGUAAGUAUCAAGAAAUAGUAACUAUUUAAUGGUACAAUAUUAACGAAAUGUAAAAAAUCGUUUAGUAAUACUCGGAUCACCACAUUAAGCAGCUCCGACCGCCGAAUGGGUGACCCUUGAUAACAAUUAUCAAGAGUGCGGGAAAAAUAACAAUAAAAAAAGGUCUCGGUGGAUGUCCUCUCCGAUCCCUAGCACCGUUCCCUCAACGCAGAUCGAUCUGUAACGAUCCUCGAACGAUCAACUAGUGGAACGAUGAGCCCGAUGCCGGCUCCCACUACAGGGUCACGUAUCUCUCUGAUGGUAACAUGUAUCCAAAACACAUGAGACACUACAUAUACUCAUAAACUUGGUCUACAAUAUCAAAAUCAUGAAAAACAACGUGAAUGUAAGAACUCAAUCAAUGAGAAACAAGAAGACAACUAACAUAAAACCUGAAUAUGCGACGAGACUAUAGUCCUAUCCUAAAAGAUACAAAGGAAAGGAAGCUGAACAAAGAACAUCUGCGGAAUAUAUGACGUCCACAUACCGCCCAGACACGUGCGUGACCUAUACGAAGACGACCAUGGGCGCGCACUGUCUAAUAUCACCAUAGUCUCGGAUCCCAACUCAGAAACACCUGGAUCACUUGGAAUCCGACCAACCUGAUAUUCUUAUCCGAGCACUCUCUGCUACAGAUCAAUUCAAAAAUCGCUUUCAUAAAACUAAGCCAUUAAAUAUUUGAGGCUUCCCACCCUCAAACUAACCUUACACGUUUAUGAUUGAAACGUCUCCCGGUGCAACCGCCGGCUGUUGCACUGUAGCCUUCAAUCAUAGACAAUAUAAAAUUAUGAAAGCGACCUAAACCCACUAAUUUUACUCAUCACACCAAACUUAUCUCAUCCAAAAUAAUUGAUACAAAUAAAAACAACGUCGUAUCCUACGGACACUGAGCAAGAUGCCGACGACCUCGUCGGCUCCGUCGACUGCGUCUCCUUCAACCCUGAAGGCGAUGGAGGCCUAGCUCACUCCAAGCCCUCAAUGUCCUAGUCGAACGCCACGACUGUCUGAAUCACUGGGUCGUCCGUCACUGUCCAAUUGUCGUCUACCUACGGCGUGCAGCUGUCCUCCUUUCUUACUUCUCCAAUCUCCUAAACGAUGACGCCGUCUACUGUCUAUCUCUCCAAGGUCUAAGAUGCGGUCGUCAUGGUCUAUCCCUAUGCUGACGAUCUCGUGUCAGUGAUCGUGGGCCAUGGAGUGUCCGUCGGGGCUCACAACUCGGAAAUGUCCUCUGUCAUCGUGGGGGUGGUCGUGGACACUGACACUGUCCCUGUCAUAAUGGACUCUACCAUCCGCGGCUCCUCGCUCUUGUCUACUACCUUGCAGAUUUACUUAAAGCAGCAACGUUAGGAGUACAAAAACUACCUCUUUUUCGACUAGUGACCCACCACCUUUUUACCGAUGACGUAUACCUUUUCAAUAAGAUACUAUGGAAACACCUCCUCGCUAUAGCUCAAACCAAACGCUGUGUGGUGAACCUACCACUCCGAAUGUCCACCAUCCACCUAUAAGUACUCCUAGGGGCAUGACUAAACAGAUACUAGUGAACCUUCUCCAAAUUCCUCAACAACAACUGUUGGAUAAAAGAUGUCUCACACUUCUCUGUCUACCUCUCCCUAGACGCAUCGGACUCCGUCCCCCUGUCUUGUCAUCGACUCAUGCUCGCUCUCAAAAGAGCUAACGAUGUAACACAUGGGAAGCACCAAUCUCUACUACUUCUAUUCCGGGCAUAGAAACUCCAUCCGAACGCUGGACGCUUAAAAUCCAACCAAGUCCGUAGCUUGGACAGCUGAAUGGCCCUGCACCACUUGGCUCGUAACUAACAUCUCUUCCCCCGUCUCUAACAUUUUCUUUCCCUUCAACACCUAGCUUCGUUUCCCUUCUCCGGUCCCUGACUCUCGUCACCUGUCGUUAGAAAAUCCUCUGGCGGUUUCAUGGGCUCUCCGGUCGGUUCAGUCAGCUCCCCCGUUCCGAGAAAAUGUUGAGCGUCUCGUGGUCUCGCAGCAGCUGGCGGCGCAACACACUAGACGUCACCAGGGGUAAAAGGUGGCGUCACAGGAGUUACACCACCGUCCACAAAGUAAACACCGGUCCUCCCGAUAAAAGCUAGGCUCACGGGCUCUCGAGGAAGUGGUCGUGGUAGAAGUCGCAGCCGUGGACGUAGAAAACGAGGCUCAGUCCCCUGAGGUAGGCGUGUCAUAGUCAGAUCCGCUGGGGGGCCUGUCGCCGUCAGUCUCUCAAGUGUCGUCCCAAGCUCACCCGCCUACAUACGGUGGGUCUGACUCCUCCGGCGUCGCCGUGUCCUCCAGCAUCGUCCAUAAUAAAACUAAGUACUAUAAGCUCAAGCACGUAAUAAACUAUGACCACGUAGUGUAAGGAAAUAACUAGCCGACAAACGGCUCAACGUAUCGUAUGUCAAUCAUGGAUGAAACAUAGGCCCUGCUCACUAGCACGGGCUGGUAUGGGACUUACAGGCAAACGCGAGUUUAAACUGUCAGUCUGAGCCAAAAUGAAUUAUUCAUGUUUUUUUAAAAUUAGAAAGUCAAAGCUAGUGUAAACCAGUGGCUUUCGAGAUGGCUUGACAUUAGAGAUCGUCUAUUGUCAGCCUAAAAUAAAAGGUGGAAGGCCCACAGUCUUACUAUACUUUGAAAUUUAGAUCGGAGUAUUUUUAUCAGGACUAUAUAAGAGCUCAAAAGUAUUAAAAGACUGUGACACGUAAAAGACGAUUUUAUAGUCGAGGCAAAGAGUGUCUUUUAAGAUUUAGAAGACAAAAGCAAGGCUGAAGUCGUGCUCAGCAAGGGCUGAAUAUAAAAUGAAGAGAUUUAGGUUAUUUUUAUCAUAGAGUGUGAUAAAAAUAAAUAAAAAAUGAAAAUAUAGUUUUAGACUAUGCAAUGUUCGGGUUUCACAUGGCCAUGUGAAAGAGCACAGUGGCCAUUGUGCUGACGCGUCUCUGUUUUGGGCUUUCGACGAAGAGCCAAAGCAUCGUAAACAUGGCCAUGUGAAAGUUACGACAUGGCCAUGUGAAACGACAUGGCCAACGUUGAGUUACCAACAUGGCCAUGUGAAACGGGUCUGAAUCAAAAACCGAGGCAAAGCUAAGAUAAAGUGCGGUUUGUUGCGAUUUUGGAAAGGUUGAGGAAGAUUUGAAUGAAAAUUAGAAAGGUUGGAACAAGCUUAUAAUUUAUCUUGAGCAGAUUGGUAAAGUAAGCGUGCGAAAUCAGUUAAACUGAUUUCAGGUUAUAAAAGGUGGCUUCAAAGUCAUACAAUGUAUAUAUAAGAUCGAAUUAUCAGAAAACUAAUACUACGACAGCAUGUUUUACUGUUAGGUGGAGUUACACAAAACACGCAAGUACUUUUUGUAGUAAGACUCGAUAAACUUACCGUGAACCGAUAGUAUCAUCUCACCUCAUCCUCUUCUAUACACGUGGGGGUAUAGUCGUUCUUCGGUAGCUUCGGUUUGCUAAAGUCUUCAACACACACGGUUACGAGCUAUAAGUCGGAGUCAUGAACUUGCUCGGUGUUAUCAAACGAAAAACGAAAAGGUUCUCUAAUUGCUCAAGGGUUCCUUAUCUGUUUUAGGUCAUCACCUUACAGAUAGCUAACCCAGAGGCCGGGUUAGACGUAGUCUUUUACGUGCUUAAUAACCUCAUUUCCUCCUACUAUCCUCUUCUGGCACUACAUUGCAUAAGAACUACAUAGCUUCUUAUGUAUCUUGUCGUCGUUUUACUGUUCUCGCACCGCGUCGGUAUUUAACUGAUUGUUCUACUUGUCGUAUUGAUUAUAGUCCAGACCAUUAACAUUCUAUCAACUCCGACGGUUGAUUAACGGACAUUUCUCAACCUAGUCCUUCAUUACACGGCAGCCACCCAGCUUCAAAUUCUAACUCGAGCUAUCCUCAUAGUAAUCAGAAUAACAGUCAUUCUGGUCACACCCGUUCAUACAGUUUCCGUAUAAAGUGAACUCUCUCUUUAUUCGGUAAUCUAGAUAUUAGAUGAAGUUAAGGGUUCUUCAUCGCGUCUUCAGGUUCUAGAAAGUAGAGUUUAACUUAUAUCUCUAUAACAAACUACAACAGUUAAGGAAGAUUCAGUAGGGGACAUUAUUAGUAUAGUAGUUGUAUAUCGUCUUAUUAUUGAGCUGGUGCACUUCUACUAACUUGUUUGUAACGGCUCAGUACAACCGAAACCUUCUUCGGAACGACUUCUUAUCAUCUUGCUUUAAAGAGUUUGGUUCGUGUGCCGCGAACAAAUUCGGGUAUAUUUCGGAAUGCUUCGGCCGUAUGUAUUGCUCCGCCUGCUCUAUUUGGCCCUCCUCCACAGUAUAUUUAAAGAAGCACUUCUAGCGGUACGUUUUUUCGUAAAAAUUGUAGAUUAACUACUUCAAAGGUUGUAACUUAUCUACGGUGCCGGUCAUUACAUGCGUGACACCAGUAAGCUCGUUGCCCUCGUUUACAGAGGAGCAUCAGUUAGGGUAUAAGAACUCUUUUCGGAAACCGGUGGUCAAAGAAGUGCUAUAACUAUCAUUUCAAAUCGUAGUGAACAGGUAAAUCCGAGGUAAUCUCGAUUAACCAGGGUGUCUUAUCUAUAAACUCUUACUUUUAGACUAUGUCUAAUCGGAAAAACAACAAAGUCACACGCUUAUAGGUAAAGAUUAAAUAUGAAAGCACGUUUUAACCAAACUAACAUUGCCCAUCUUUCUUUUAGGGUGUGAAGAAAUCGUCAUAGUUUAAAUGAUUUAACGUAUGACUAUCAGUCUGAUUGUCACAGUGCGGGACGCUGGUGGGCGGNCACUCCCGGCGCCACCACUUCCAACCCAAGCCUUUGCAUCUCCUUUUGCAAUAGCGGUUGAGGCGUAAUUGCCAUCGCUAAGUUUUCCGCCGAUUUUCUACUUAGAGCAUCGGCCACGACAUUGGUUUUUUUGGGGUGGUAUAGUAUAGUGGUAUCGUAGUCCUUCAACAACUCCAACCACCGCCACUGUCGCAUGUUCAAUUCCUUCUGUGUGAACAAGUACUUAAGACUCUUGUGAUCUGUAUAGACUUCACAAUGCUCACCAUACAAGUAAUGCCUCCAAAGCUUUAGGGCGAAAAUCAUCGCGGCUAACUCGAGGUCGUGAAUCAGGUAGUUCUUCUCAUAACUCUUUAAUUGGCGCGAUGCAUAUGCAAUGACCCACCCAUUCUGCAUUAGUACACACCCGAGACCCACAUAAGAGGCAUCACUAUACACUACAAAGUUCUCCCCCGGGGUCGGCAAGCCAAGCACCUGGGUCGACGUCAACCUGUUCUUCAACUCUUCGAAGCUUCGAUCGCAAUCGUCGCUCCAAACAUACUUUACUCCUUUAUGGGUAAGGCGCGUUAGCGGAGUGGUUAUUUUGGCGAACCCCUCCACGAACCGCCGGUAAUAGCCCGCAAGUCCGAGAAAACUACGGACCUCCGCUACAUUCGUCGGGCGAGGCCAAUCCUUUAUUGCCUCUACUUUCUUCGGGUCUACCGACACUCCGUCGCCCAAUACCACAUGACCCAAGAAUGUGACCUCCUUUAGCCAAAAGUCACACUUCUUCAACUUUGUAUAGAGCUUCUCCUGCCUGAGUAUCUGCAACACUACUCUAAGAUGCUCUUCGUGCCCCUCUUCACUCUUUGAGUAAGCCAAUACGUCGUCUAUAAACACCACGACGCACCGGUCCAACAACGGCCUGAAGACUCGGUUCAUCAAGUCCAUAAAUGCUGUCGGGGCGUUAGUAAGCCCAGACGGCAUUACCGUGAACUCAUAAUGACCAUACCGCAUACGGUACGAGGUUUUGUGCACAUCCUUCGGCCUAAUCUUUAGUUGAUGAUACCCCGACUGGAGAUCAAUCUUCGAAUACACCUUGGACCCUUGCAACUGAUCGAAUAAAUCGUCAAUCCUUGGCAACGGGUACUUGUUCUUAAUCGUUACUUUGUUCAACUCGCGAUAUUCUACGCAGAGUCGAAGUGUGCCAUCCUUUUUCUUCACAAAUAGCACCGGAGCUCCCUACGGUGACACGCUCGGCCUUACAAAGCCUCUAUCGAGCAAGUCUUGUAGCUAUCCCUUUAGCUCCUUUAACUCCACCGGUGCCAUUCUAUACAGAACCUUCGAAACUGGUUCCGCCCCGGGAAUCAAGUCUAUAACAAACUCGACCUCCCUGUCCGGUGGCAAUCCCGGUAACUCCGCCAGAAAUACAUCCGGGUACUCGCACACUACUCGAAUAUCCCCCAACUCUGGGUACUCUUUUUGAGCAUCUACCAUGGUUGCCAAAUAGGCCUUACACCCUCCUUUGAUCAUCUUCUUCACCCUUACAGACGAUAUGGUUGCCGCGAAGUGCCUACUUUUGCAUGCUUGGUACACCAACUCUUCUUGAUCAGGCUCACGAAAAGUGAUCACCUUGCUUUCACAAUCUAUAACCGCAUAGUAUUUGGAGAGCCAGUUGGUCCUCAAGAUGACAUCGAAUCCCCACAUCCGAUUUAGCACUAGCAGAUCUAUCGGCAUAAUCCAAUCGCCUAUUUGCACUGGACACGCCAAACACUCAUUAUGGACACUGAAUGAAUAUUUUGGGGUGUUCACCGACCAGUAGUCUUCGUUAUAUGCCAUUUCUAUGCCAUGAAUGAGAUGCGCCUGUAUCAAAUACUGCUCUAGUUCUAGUGCCUUUAAUCACAAUUAUACCUCCCACGACAUCGUCGGGUACUGCAGGCUGCUGCUCCUCCACCUGAGCGGCAAAAACCUGUCCGCUAGGUGCCCUCGAUCCCUCCGGCUGUCGCGGUGAUGACGCACUCCCAGCCGAUAUCGCUGGUGGUAACCCCGAAAGCUGUCUCGGGGUCGACGGUGAUGAUGCCGCCGCCGGUGUAGACGACGUCCAGCUCGGGCACUCCCGGAUAAGAUGUCCCGGUUGGCCACACUUGAAACAUUUGUCGUCUCGCUGCGGGCAAGUUGACACUCGGUGCUCUCCGCCACAAAUGACGCACCGAGGUGGUCUCCAGUUGCUUGACUACUGUCGGGGAUACCGAGAGGGUUUCUUAGCAUUUGGCCUGCCCCCGGCACCCCCCGCCGUUCGCUUCUUGCCUUUGUCCUUUGACUCGGCGAUAGCCUCCCAUUUCUCUCGAACGUGGGCGCUACUGUGCUCUACCCAUAAGGCUCUAUCAAAGAGCUCCGCAAAGGUCGUCAGCUUCAAGAUCUGCACCUUCUCAUAUAUCCUCGGCUGGAGUGCUCGUAAUAACCAAUCAGCCCGAUCCCAAUCAUCUCGAACAACAUCGGGAACGCAGUCGAUAAUGUGGGAGAAUUCCUACUCAUACUCCCCCACCGAUCGAUCACCCUAUCUCAACUUGCGAAACUUCUCUUGUAGUCUCCGCUUUACCGUAUCGGGGAAGUAGUUUGCAAAGACUGCUCUCUUGAACUCCUCCCAUAGCAUAAGCGAAAGAUCGGUAGGUCGAUCCCGCUUGACUCGCUUCUACCACACCAUCGCCGCCUUCUCAAGACAAUGGGUGGCAAGGUACACUUUGUCUUUCUCCAAGGUAUUGAGAUCCUCGAAGAGCGUCUCUAUCGAGUCGAUCCACGACUCCACGACCGCCGGCUCUACAAAUCCGCCUUCGAAGGUAGGUGGGUCGAACUUCUUAAACUGUAUGAGAGCCGCAAACGUGCGCUCCCGCUACGCCUCUACCGCCGCACUAUCUAGAUUUGAGGUUCCCGAUCCGGCCAGUACUACCGUAACUAGCACAGCCGCCGCUGCCGCCGCUCCCUCGUCCACACUCGGCACUACCACAGGGGGCGCGAUGUCACGCUCCGGGACCGACGGAGGCCCUCCCGGUAGCGCGCACAGACCCGCCAUAUGUCUACACAUAUAAGGCGUCUGCACAAAAGCGGAAGAGUAAAGCAAGAGAAAAUCUACAAGUAGGGAUAUCUGAGCAAGUAUAUAGCUAGGUUCUAAUAUCAGGUAGAGUCAAAAGAAAACAUUACUACUAAAGCAUGAAGUAAACUAAUACAUCAUAGAUCUCCAAAUACAUAAGUAGGGUGGUGUCUAUAACCAGGUACAAAACUCUCAUAACCUCUCCCAAGAGAAAACAAAAGAGAGGUGGACCACCUAUUGCCAAAUCCCUCGAUAGCUAGCCUGAGGCGAUUCCUUUCCCGCGAUCCCGAGUCUCUCCCGAAGCGAAAGGCUCUGAAAGAAGACAUAAAACAUGGGGCGUGAGAACUAUAAAUUAUAGUUCCCGGUGGGCAAUUACUGACCUGUAUCAAAUUGCACUACUAGGCCCAAAACAUAAACAGAUAUAGAUAAGGAAAUGUAACUGCGGAAAAGAAAGCAUAUAGAGAAGGCUAUACUACUAAGCCACAAGUAUUCUGAAUGUCAAUAUAGAGUACAUCUACUCUACUGAUCCAAUAUGCCAAAACUUAAAUAAUAUGUUAUGAUGCAACAAGUAAUGCUAUGAAGUAUGCUAUAUGUCCCAAAGUCCACUACAUAUCUAGUAUGUACUAUUGAAGCAACCAAAAAUACUACAAUGUAAUAAGCGAUACUGUCAAGUAUACUAUAUGCCCAAAUGUCCAACCCUAUGCCAUAGCAUAUUAAGAGUCCAACUACUAUAACCCAGCUAGUAGUGAUUGUCAACUUGUUGUUUAAUAUUCUUGUUCAAUCUCAUUCAGGAUCUACACAGGUGUAGUCCGGCUUGUGCCGCCUAAGUGCCAGUGGUAGCUCCAGCAUUCCCACUUGAGGAAUGAGUCUAACCCUCCAGGCCCCGUAGGCUACUCGAUACCGCACGAGCGAGCAUAAGUCGCGUAGGCUAACUCCGGAGUGCCGGCUUGUGGGGAGCGACCCUCACAAGCAUGUGCGAAUGAGCACAAAUGGCAAGCAAGCAUGGUCAAUACCUCAAUAGUCCAGUCAUCAUGUCUCCAACAUGGUAAUGCAACUCAAUAGUCAUCAUGUCUCUAACAUGGAAAUGCAACUCAACAGUCAUCAUGUCUCUAGCAUGGAAAUGCACACUAGCAACCCCAAGUGUCUAGUCUAUGCCUCAAGUGAGGAUUUACUAAGUUCACUAAGUCCAACGCCUCUUUAUGGCAUUAUCUCACUAUGUCCAAAACCAAUCCAAGCCUAAUGCCGCUUUAUGACAUUAGCUUGCUAAAUCCAUCUCUAGUCUAAAUCUAAUGCCAUUUUAUGACAUUAGUUUAAUAUUUACAUACACUUUAACCUUGGUCACUUAAUGACACUAUGUCCAACCAUGGCAAAUAUGUAUUCUAAGUUCAAGAGCGUAAUCUACAUGUCAUAUCCACUUCAUGCAACGUGAUCUCAACAAGAGCAAGAAUGCUAACCAUAUGCAAGGGUCCAAUCCUGACCAGCUCUCUACUACACAGAGGCCCAAUGUACUUUAUACAAGGUAUGCACAUAUUAAGCAUUCUAAAAUUCCCAAAAUAUUCUAUUUAGUAAGAAUAUGCAUGCAUUUUCACUUUACGAUAAAUCAAAACCAUCAUAUGAGAAUUCUAACUCAUUUUGGUGAGGCCAAACCCACUGAAAAACGGAACCCUUCAUUUCGCCGAACGGAGGUGUCCACAAUUCUCCUAGCAUCCUAAAGAUGUAGGAACAAGGGUUAGACCGACCAUACGAACAUCCAAAAGCUCAAAUAUAAGCAAACUCAAGAUAAGGGCAAAACUCAUCUAAGUGAAACAAACCCUUCCCAAGCUCCAAACGGGAGCUAGAUCCCUUCCAAUCGAACCUAGAUGAAGGUUCUAAUCCGAUCAAUUGAGCUCCAAAAGUCCUAGAUCAAAAAUCCCCAAAUCAAACCCUAAAUCCUCAUUUCUAGAGUUUCAAUACAAAAAUCAUGAAAAUCAUGAUCAAAAGAGAAAUAGUAAGCAACUAACCUCUCAUGAAGCCCCAAAUAAGGAUCAAAACCUACUAGAGUUGGAGAUCUCUCCUCCAACAAGGUCAACUCCAAGCUCCCAAGCUUCUCCCAUGGUGGAAAAGUCACCGAAAGGCAAAAAGAGAGCAAAAGAGGGAAUUAAACCUCAAAAAUCCCAAGCAAAAACAAAGAAAAUCAAAGAGGGAGAAAAGAGAGCUCCCUUUCCUUCCUCCCCACUGGUUCCAAGCUAAAGGAAUAUCAAGGGUCGUGGGGUGUAUUUGUAAUGAUGCUACAAUAGCAAAAACACCCUCCAAACCCGAGCAGAUUGCAUUCUGCACUGCGUACCGGUACACGGGCCCGCGUACCGGUACACCUUCCACGAAAAGGCCAAACCCGAGCCUCGGGUUUGCUCAAAACUGCCUGUGUACCGGUACACGGGCCCGCGCACCGGUACAACCAUCAGCCCGUACCGGUACAGCCAUCAACCCUGUACCGGUACACGGCCUGAAAAAGCCACCCGAGAGUUGACCAAAAAUUCGACUUUUUGGAUUUUAGUGCAUAGCUUUAAACCUCAAUUCUCAGGAUACGAGCCAUAGGUUGGAACACUGUCAACGACCCACCAGAAAGUCUGGAAAAGCUCAGAACACAGAUUAGACACUCGAACCUUGCAAUUUGCAAAAGUCCAGUGUGUUACACGCGACAUGGUCGACACCCGCCUGGGCCGCCGCUUGCUGACGCUCUAAGGCCUCCUGGAGCCGCUGAAUCUGCUCCCCUUGGCUUCGCACAGACUCUGCUUGCUGCUGCACAACUCCAAUAAGCGCAGCCACUUGAUCCCUAAGCUUUCCGUCGCCACUCGCUCCGGAUCGCUCGGGCUCCGCACUCGGCUCCUCAGGCAUCGACCUUGUCUGUGGUCGUCAACGAGGUGCCAUCGCUUCCUGAAAAGAAGCAACUCGCAUUAGCUACAUAACCAACAUUACUCAUCAACACCCAAUUCGGCGAAAGCAACAUACACAUUUAUCCUUGCCUCAAGCGUCAUGUCGUCGGCCGCCCGACACAACACUAGAAGUAGAGGAUAAACGAAAAUUAAACUUAGCCUCUAAUCACAUUAGAGACGUCCCAACUUAAUCCAAUCACAUGCUUUCGCUAACUUUGAUCCCACGUCACUCACGUUUCCUAGAUCCUUAAGGUCUUCCAAUCCUAAGGGUCUCUAGGUCUAUUCCUAUUCUUUCACACUAGGCUCAGAUACCACAAUAUCUGUCACGCCUCGGGACCGAUACCAAUUUGGGCCGGCCCGAGCACGUCAAACAGAUGCCGAACGGACAGAGUUUUCCCUAUCCGCCCAAGGCUCAUCACCUGUACAUUUUCAAGUAGAGAAAAGCACUAGCGGAAACAUACACAAACGGCUUACACGAGAGUAAGCAAUAGCCAUGAGUGAAAGAAAGGAACUAAACAUCUACACAAGUACUAUUACAUUCAUAUUUACGAUUCUUUACAUUGCUUGUAUCAUUUCUUUUACAUCACAUUUGCCCAAAAUAAACAUUACAUUCUUUUUCUUUUACAUCUCAAUUCAUCAAAUACAAAAGAUGAAGUAAGGGAAUGCUACUACAAAAUGUAAACCCAACUCUCGUGGCCUUUGACUAAGGUGCGAUACCUUUACCGCGGUCGCUUGUCGGCUCGCUCGGUCCCGGCUCUGUGAAAUAGUGGGGUGAGAACUACAACAAAGUUUCCAGUGGGUUCGGCCCCAAUCUCACCGACUUUCCCACUAGGUCUAACUCAGGCAUAAUAGAAAGAAUAAGCAGAUAAGUAGCGAACUAUACAAAUGCAGCUAAUAUGCCUGAACAAUGCUAUCAAUAAGAUGCUCAAUAUAAAUUCAUGAAGAAUGCAUGGUCGAUGUUCUUUGUUCUUUGUUCUUUGUUCAAUCUCAAGGCUAACCCAGGGGUAUCGCCUCAUUAACUCACAACUCAAAUCUAUGAUCGCGGGCCCUCAGCUUCCUCCCGCUAGGACCGUCCUCUGAGUAACUCAACUCAGUGAUGACAAACUCUGGAGCGCGUCGCCCGAGGGGGAGCGACCACCCUCGAGCAAGGACUUAUAGCGAGUAUGAUCAAUUCUUAACUCUAAGCAUAUUCAGUUCAAUCUGUUUCUUAACUCUAAGAAAUUAUGCACAAAUGACCCUUAGCUCUAAGGUUGAAUGUCAUCAUGUCAAUCUCAUGUUCUUUGCAUUCUUUAUCUUUGACAAUGUCAAUACACUAACUCUAGUGUUCUUUACAUGCUUUACUAUCAUUCAUGUCAUACAUUAACUCUAAUGUUCUUUGAUGCCAAACUUUGAUGCUAACUCUAGCCAUUGUUCUUUAUGUCACACUUUUGAUGCUAACUCUAGCAUUUAACGUUCUUUAUGACUCACUUAUUCACUUGAUGCCACACUUUUCCCUUUGAUGUCAUACACUAACUCUAGUGUUUUAUACAACUUUAGGCUAUCUUUAGCUUUCAUUCUCAACAUUUCAUUGUAUUCAUGUCAUAUGUCACUUGUUCUUUAACUUUAUCAAGUUCUCAUCAUCAUACAUGCACAUAUAGGGUUAUUACAUUCUUAUUGGUUCUCAACCAUCUAAUGAUGCACUUGAACUCACAAAAUGCAAACAUUCACAUGUUUAUAAUCUCAUUACCCUACUAUGCAUGCAAUAAUAUACUCAUGGAUGCUCAAUAAGUGACACAUUAGACAUAAAGCGAAUUCCAACAAAUUUGGAUAGCACCACCCAUCUCGUAGGCGUACUAGGAUGCUACGGUGAUUUUCUCAGAAUUUUUAGCCUCUUAGUUUGGUACCUGCGGCAAAACGAAGCCCUAUUAGGCUAUUUUGCUCAUAACUUUACAUUAGCUUUUCGUAACGUUAAUCCGAGCACACCAACGCGUCGGAAAUACCCCCAAUUAGGUUUCUAAAGGGUCAAUUUCACUUUGGAACCCUCACAAGCAAAAGCCCCAAUUUGGGUGCCCUAGCUCAACCUAUAUCAAAACCUAGGGUUUGAUCUCAUUAGGAAGCAAAAGAAGCUUCAAUCUACUCUAGAGACUCUAUUAAAACCAUCCUUAGCUCAAUCCAAACCCUAGUUUGGAUUCUCCCAUGAGAGGGGUGAAGCUCACAUCUAAGCUUCAUCACAUAUACCCAAACCAUGAUUUUGAUCUCUUAAAGAAGCAAAAGAAAGAUUCAAAUACAUAAAAGGUUCUAUUAAAACCAUUUCUAGAUCACUUAGUUCACAUUCUAGGGUUUUACCAUGAAUGGGAUCAAAGCUUACCUCAAAGCUUUCCUUUCUUUGUGCUAGAGGUGAAGGAGAGGGAGUUGCUUCACUCCUUCUUCUUCUCCACCUUCCAUCUCCUUUUCUUCUUCCUCUUUUCCUUUCUUUCCCUUUCUUUCUUCUUCUCCUUCUUGUUUUCUAGAGAGAGAAAGAGAGGAGAGAGUGUGUGAGAGUGAGAGAAUAAGAGGAAACACAUCAUAACCCCCUCAACAUAACCCAAUUGUUACAUAAUUGCAAAUAAACCCCUCAGCUUUUAUCUUAUUAAACUGCUUGAACUGGGCAGUUUUCGUGCUCGGGGACCGGUCUCCCCGACUUGGGACAGGUCCCAGAGAGCUCUCCCCGCGGGCAACCAAGGCCCCCGCGCAGUGCAACCGGUCUCUCCCAGGGGGACCGGUCUCUCGGGGACCGGCCUCUCCCCGCAGGGACCGGUUCCCGAGAGCUGGUUUUCUGGGACUUAGCUGAUUUUUCAGCUUUCUCAAUUUCCACGCGUUCGGGGACCGGUCUCUCCCACCAGGGACAGGUCCCCGAGAGCACAAAACCUGCAGAAUGCAGAUUUUUGAUUCUUUAGCUCUCGAAAACCUCCCACAAUGCAUUUUUGAUCAUUUUAACACCUUCGGACUUUUCAAAGUGUACCAACCUCGCACUUUGGUCAAUUUGACUAAAGUUCGAUAUUUAUUUUUCAAAUUCUCGCUAUAUUACACCAAUCUUGCCGGUUAACCUUGUUAACCCCAAUAACUCACAACUCAAAAUUCCUUAAUAACGGGGGACUCGAACCACCCUAGGGACUGUCCUCUGGGGGAACUUUACCACGCCCAGUGGUGACCAACUCCGGAGCGCACCGCCCGAGGGGGAACUACCUCCCUCAAGCCAAGACUUAUCGUGAGUAUCGAUCUAAUUCCCACAUAGGAAUGUAUAGCCACUUGUCACAAUGCCACUUUACCAAUGAUAGGUCUCUACCGUAUCAUGCUUGCCAUUCUCUAGGCUACUCUUGCCACAAUGCCACUAAUGGUUAAACUUUGUUUAACAACCAAUGUCUUAAUACCAAUUGUCACGCCCCGAGCCCGCCUAUUUGGUCGGUUUCGGGCACGCCAACAGACUGUCGAACGGACAGGGUUUUUCCUGUACCGCGGACAGAGUCUCCCCUGUACAUUCAAGGCGUCGCAAUCAAUACAAUGUACGAAGUUCCAACCAGGAACACAUUUCAAACAAAGAUUGCAUAAGGAAGUAUCAAAAACAUAAAUCUACUUGCUAUUACAAGCAUUCAUCUCACAUAUUACAUUUUUGCAUUCUUAGAUUACAUCACAUUUGAUUAUUUGAUUCUUACUUCCAAAUACAAUCAAAUUAUUACAAAUUUACUACAAGUUUGAUACAUCUUGUUCUUUCAUUUUCCAUAUCCCUAAGUAGCCGACUCAGGGUGCUGCUAUCUGGUCUCAGUGGUAGGGCGCUAACUACGAAGCUACGCCCUUGCCUCACACCGCCGCGCCGCUCACGUGUGAACCUGUAACACCCCAAAACAACAUGGGGUGAGAACCAACUCCAUGGUUCCCAGUGGGUACGGCCACCCAAGGGAAGAGCUCGACCAUCAGGUCCAAAGGAGGCAAACAACAUGUUAGUCCAAUAGAUUGAUAUGAAAUCAUAAAUCGUGCAACUAACAUUACCAUGCUUUUGCCUCACAACAUGCAAUAUGCAAAUCAUGCAACUCAUAUAGGUAGAUUAAUUGAUUCUACUCUUUAUUCUUAUCCAUUCUUUACCUUUAGCCAUUCUUUACGGUACUAGCUAUUCUUUAACAUUUGCCUUUCUUUAUUCUUUAUUACUUGUCAUUCUUUAGCAUUAGCCUUUCCUUAUUCUUUAUUCUUUAUUCUUUAUUCUUUACGCUUUACUAAGGGUACUCACACCUCAGUAAUAUUAUAUGCAUUAGCCUUUCUUUCCUAAGGUUACUUUACCUUAGCCAACUAUGCCAUCCGACUCGGUCUUGAGUGAAUCAACUGUGGAUAGUCCGCGCUCUGUCCGGCUCGAGGUGAAGGAACUCUCACAUGCACCUCAGCCUUCAAUCACAAACCACAUCGCCCAGCUGGUCGUCCAGAGCUGUGUACACCCGUGGUCAGGGAUCUCCCGGUGGGAGAGGAACAUGCCGCAUACACCCGCAGCCGAGAUCCCCGAUAGGGAGAGGAACAUGCCACAUGCAUCCUAGCGCUCAUUAUUCUUGCUCAUUGACAGGCCUUGAAGUUCUUCCGGUGGGAGAGGAAUGUGCCACAUGCACCCGCGGCCAAAGAACUAUCGAGCUUGUAUGCUGCACUAGCAGCCGCUGCACUAGCAGCAGGGAUUUCGGAAUCCACUUUACAUUACUCAAGGGUUGGUCUCACCCUACGUUAUCGACCUAUCUAGGUCCAAGCCUUUACUCAACCUAUGUUUAUACAUUAGGUUCAAUGUCAUUAUUUUCAUAGCCUAGGUUCAUUAAUACUAGGUCCAACAUUCUUUAUCACCUAGGUUCAUUCGACUCUAGGUUUCAUGUCACUACAUUCACAACCUAGGUUUACUUGACUAUAGGUUCCAUAUCAUUACGUUCACAACCUAGGUUUACUGACUCUAGGUUCAAAGCCACUCAUGUUUUUGUUUUCCUAGUUGUCCACACCUAGGAAUUAUACUUAACAUGCCACUCGUGAUUAACCUAUGUUCAAUGACACUAGGUUCAAUGCCACUCGUCAUCCUAGUUAUUUAUACUUAGGAUUCUUUACAUAUGACACUUGUCAAGUUCUCUACUUUACUUAGUGUUCAUUGACUCAAGUUCAACCUUCAUAUCAUUCUAACAUAUUCUUACAUUAUAAAAUCAUGCAUUUAUACAUCAUCUCGCUCAUAUGUUUAUUUAACAUACAUCUCAUACAUGCCUUUAACAUUUAACUCAUGCUUCAUCUAGCAUUUCUAUAAUAUGUCUACACGCAUUCUUUAGCAUACAUCUCAUAUGAUUCGUUACUUGGCACAUAUUACAUGCAUUACUUAACAUCUAUCACAUGCAUUCAUUUCUUAGCAUCUUUAUCAUGCAUUCUUACUUAGCAAUUCUUAUCAUGCAUUCAUUUCUAAAACAUGCAUCUAGUUCAUGUUACAUGGCAUUUUACUCAUGCAUUUAUCUAGCAUAUGUCUUACAUACUCCUUUAGCGUUUAGCUCUUGCAUUCGUUAGCAUACUUCACAUACCUUUACUUAGCAUCUAGCUCAUGUCAUUAUAUGCAUUUAUUAGCAUCAUUAUGGUACAUUUUUACUUAGCAUUCUUAUUAUGCCUUCUUACUUAACAUUCUUAUCAUGCAUCAAUAGUGAAACAUACUACACUUUGGCAUGAAGGCGACCUAGUCGCUUCGGUAAACACAACCCACCUUUUAACGCGUUCCGAUUGCUUGUCGUCACUUGCAAUCGGCCUCCCGUGGCACCCGUGACCCGGUUUGGCCCGAACUCUUGCGCGACCACCCGAACAGCCACCAAUUCGCGAUCCGUCUGUUCGGGAGUUUAUUCCUCGACACCACGAUGCUCCCGAUCUAUUUUCAUGAUUUUUGGAGGCUUAUCCCGCGUGCUGCGGCUAUCUGUACCAAAACAGACAGUUUCGUCAAUAACUUCGCGUACACUCGUCGGAUUGUUGAACCGAGUGCACCACUGCGUUUGUUAUACCCCCAAUUAGGUUUGUAUAGGGUCAAUUGAGAUCAAACUCAACUAUUUACAAAAAUCCCUUUUUUUGGAGCCUUAGAUGCUACUCUAGCAAAAUCCUCCAUUUCAUCUCAUGAAUCAAGCAUAAACCAUCUAUUUAGCAUGCUAAGAUUCCAUCUAAAUCAUCUUUAGAGUGUAAGAACUUAACCCUAAAGAUCUACCAUUAAAGCUUCAAGAAGCUUACCUCUUUAGGUUUGCUCCUAGGUGAAGAAGAAGAUGAUGGAGGGAAGCUCUCCACUUGCUUCACCUUCUUUUCCCUUUCUUCUUCUUCUUCUUCUUCUUCUUCUUCUUCUCCUUUCCUUUCUAGAGAGAGAGAGGGAGAGUUUUGGAAGUAUACGGUGAGGGAGAGGGAGAGAGAGAGGUUCUAAUCCUCUCUAUACACUUAACCCAUGCACAAAAUGACAAUAAGCCUCUCAACAAUGCAUCUCUUGCAACAGCCCGAACUGGACAUUUUCGAGCUUCGGGGAUCGGUCCUUGCGAUGAGGGACCAGUCCCUGAGAGACCGGUCCUUGGCUGAGAGACCGGUCCCCGAAGGUCCAGAAAUCAGCCUUCAAGGACUUAGCCAAAUUUUCAGCUUUUUCGCCGUUUUCGCUCCGUUUUCGCUCGUUUGACAUCCGAUUCGUUUCAAAUCGAACCGAGACUCUCCAAACAUGUUUUCAAGCAUGUCUUCAUCAUCUUUUCAUCCACGCUAAUGCCGGAUUUAGUCCACGGUCCAACAUAGCCUUUCGGGUCCCGUUUUCGCGCCCUAUGCGCACCGAAGCACCCGAAUGCUCCCGAACUUUGCCGGAAUGAUUCCAAUGGCUUUCUAAGCUAACAUACAUCGUAACUUCAUGAAUUAGAAGUUCGGUAUAUUACACCAAUCUUGUCUCUAUUGUCAAUGUCACCUUUGUUUACUAUUAUCUUGGUCCAAGUCUUACAUUCAUACAAUCUUUAGGACUCUACUAUACAUGUCUAUUAUGGUUCUUGUCAUUCUCUAUAUUCAUCUACGUUAGAAGCAUAAAAUGCAAGAAUGGUUCUAUACAUAGUAUGUUCAACAAAAGGCGAAAUAAACAUAAAGGGGAAUCCAACGAUUCCGGCGUGCACCCCCUACCUUGAAUAGUGUAGAAGGGUUGUAGUUCGACUCUCGUGAUUUUAGGACGCCUCUUCGACUCUCGUGAUUUUAGGACGCCUCUCCUGCGACCUAUACCCAAAGUAGUGCCGAAUUAGGCCCUAUAUACAAGAUCUCUAACUUAACCUUUUUGUAACGUCAAACGAAGUUGUCAUACGUGUCAGAAAUACCCCCAAUUAGAUUUCCAAGAGGUCAAUUUACCUCGGAAACAACCGGAGGUACAAGCCCCAAAAUUCAUGCCCUAACAAUGCCAUAAUGAAAUUUCUCCUAGAUUGAUCUUAUCUCUAAGCAAAUACUAGCUUAGAAUCACCUAGGAAGCUCUCUAAUACCAUCACUAAGCCAUUUAGACUAUUCCUAGGGCAUCAACUAUGAACCCCAGUUAUCCACCAUGAGAGGACCUUGAGCUUCCAUGGUUUUCAUGGAGCUCAAGCCUCAAGAGGGUUUCUAACUCUAGAAACAAACUCAAAACUCUAAAACUUAGGGUUUAAAUCCUAACCCUAGAGCCAUUCUUGCACAAAACUCACCUUCGCCACGAGCUCACCCAAGUCCACCUUGUUGGACAGCCUCUAGAACCACCAAUUCCUCCAAAAUCCACCUUCAAUGCCUUCCAAGCCUCCUCCUCCUUGCUCUAGGGCACACUCUCUAGAGAGAGAGAGAGAAAAAUGAAGUGGAGAGGAGAAGAGGGGCUGCUGCUGUGAAGGGAGGUGUUUCGGGGUAUUUAUGGUAUGCUACAAUUGCAACUAGGCCCCCCAAAUAUCCCUAUUUGCAACAGAUUUUAAAACUGCUGCCAGACCAAAGUGUACCGGUACACGGAAUUUUGUACCGGUACAACACUGCGCAGAGGCCAAACCCGAGAGCAACUCUCUUGGUUACGCGAGAUUUGUACCGGUACAUUUUCAAAGUGUACCGGUACACUUCCAAUUUUUCUCAAACCCGAGGGCUGACUCUUCUCGGGUUGCAGGGCUGUACCGGUGACAUCUCGCUGGUUGUACCAGUACACUUUGCCCAGAAUGCAGGUUUUGCGCCAUUUUCGAUUCUUUUUCACGCCGAUCGAUGCUAAAACCUUUCUAACACCUCUUAAACUCAUUUUAUACCCUUCCAACAUUGUUGGAAUGCUAAUGGAACUUGUCCAUCCAUUUCUCUCGACAACUUUUGUAACAUACCACAUCCCUUGUGAAUCAUACCGAGUUCCGUUAAAACGAGCGGAACGCGAAAUUGAAUGAGUUAAAGUGGACCCUAAGUGCAUUGGAGUUCAUAAACGGAGCAAAAAGGGACCCGGAGAGCAAAUCUGGAAAUCUGGCUAAGUCCCAGAUUUUGAGCUCUCGGGGACCGGUCCCUGAAUGAGAGACCGGUCCCCGUGCGCGUAGCCUGCCAGGAAAUCCUGAGGCAUCCGGUCCCUGAAGGAGAAACCGGUCCCCGUGCGCGUAGCCUGCCAGGAAAUCCUGAGGCAUCCGGUCCCUGGUGGUGAGACCGGUCCUCGGGAGACCGGUCCCUGACGGGCAGACCGGUCCCUCGCUGCGCAACAGCCGAAAACUCGAAAAAUUUGGCUAAGUCCUGGAAAACCCCCGUUCGGGAACCGGUCCCUGGUCGGGGAGACCGGUCCCCGAAGGCGAAAAAUGCCCAGUCUGGGCAGUUCAAGUGGAAACAAGUGGAGGGGCUUAAGUGCAAUUGUUACAACACUAUAUAUGACUCACCCCUCUCUUCCACAGCCAUUUCCACCCUCUCACCCAUUUCCUCUCUUUCUCUCUCUAGAACCCAUGCUCUAGAACUUGGAGAAGAAGAAGAAGAAGAGAAGAGGAGGAGGAUUUGGAGGCUUUGGAGGUUCUAGGAGCUCUCCAACAAGGAGAAUCUUGGUGGAGCUUGGACUAGAGGUAAGUUUUGUAAGGUUUUCCUCUAGGGUUUGGAUUUUGGUUAAGAGAUUUGGAGCUUUGUGCUCCUUAGAGGUUUUAGAAGCUCUUUUGAGCCAUGAACACCAUGGAACCCAUGAGAGCUCAAGGUGCUCUCAUGGUGAAUCCUUGGAAAUGAUGUUUGGAGCCCUAGGGUUGGUACCAAAGGUCUAGAAACCUUGUUAGGAUGCUUCUUAGAUGAUCCUAUGCUAUUCUUUGCUUAGGGUUGGGAUCGAUUCAUGGGAAAACCCUAAAUGGCAAUAUUAGGGCUUGAAUUUGGGGCUUUUGCCCUAGGAUUGUUCGGGGACAAAUUGACCCCGUAGAAACCUAAUUGGGGGUGCCCUAAACACGUUGGACAACUUCGUUUAACAUUUCGAAAAUGUUAGAGUAUAGUUCAUGUACAAAAAGGCCUAAUAUGGCACUAUUUGAUUAUAGGGCGCGGAAUCGGCUUUCGUAAAGUGCGGGGGCCUUAAUAUUCUACACCCACACGACUCACAGAGGUGGGGGGUGCACGCCGGAAUCGUUGGAUUCCCCUCUAUGUCUAUUUCUCUAUUUUUGAGCAUAUAUAUAUAUAUACACCCAUUCAUGCAUAGUAGGGUAGCUACAUGUGGAACUUGGUUUGACUUCAUUUAUAUGCUUCUAACGUAGUUGAACAUAGAGAAUGAUAGAACCAAAAUGGACAUGUGUGAUUGGACCCUCAAGUUGUGUGAAUGUAAGAAUGGACUUGGACAUUAGAAAACAAGGGUGUCAUUGACAUAGAAACAAGAAUUGCAUUGAGAGAUGACCGUUGAAAAUAGUUUGACCCAUAGUGACAUGGUCGAAGAUAAGGCCUUGAAAGUGGCAAAAAUAAAUAGGUAGAGACCUAUCGUGAUAUUGGCAUUGUGACUAGUGGCUAUGAAUCCUCAAGUUGAGGAUUAGAUCGACACUCACCUUUCGUCUUGGCUUGAGGGAGGUCGCUCCCCCUCGAGCGGUGCGCUCCGGAGUUGGUCACCACUGGGCGUGGUAAAGUCCCACCAGUUGACGGUCCCUAGGGAGGUUCGAGUCCCCCGUUAUUAAGGGAUUUUGGGUUGUGAGUUAUUGGGGUUAACAGAGUUAACCGGUAAGAUUGGGUAAGAGCCAAAGUUUGAUUAUGAUUGGAGCAUGCAUGCAUUUCCAUUUUCGCAUUGAAAUUGUAUAUCUACUGACUUUUUCUUGCAGGCAUAGUAUUAGUUGCAUUAGUAAUGGUUACUUUUCUUCCUUUGAAAUACUUAUGCCUGGAUAGACCUAGUGGGUAAGUCGGCGAGGUCGGAUGCCGAGCCCACUGGGAACUUCGUUGUAGUUCUCACACCACUAACCCUACAGGUCCUAGCACGAGCGGGGCGGCGGAGGACCGAGGCAAGGGUUUGGCGCCGUAGGUAGCGGCCACCGGGGACUUUAUGCAUUUUGUAGUCAUUCCCUUUUGUUAUACAUGUAUCAACUUUAUUUUGUUGAUUUAGGUAUGUAAAGUGUAAACAAUCAUGUAUUUGGUGGAUGACUAAAUGUAAAAAGAUACGAUGAUUGAAUAAAAUGUAAUAGUUUUGCUUACUUGAAUUUGGUUUAAAUGAAAUCAAAUAUCAUGUGUGAUUCAUAUUUAGCUUAGAGCUUUCGCUUCCGUUGUUGCUUGCCCUCGUGCGAGCCUUCUAUUAUAUAUGCAAUUCUCUUGUUAAUUGCUUAAUUAUACGUGUUGUUAGAGCCUUGGGCGGACAGGGGAGGCUCUGUCCGUUCGGCGUCUGUCGACGUGACCCGAACCCGACCAAAUUGGUGGGGAUUGGGGCGUGACACAACAUAUGUUAGAAGUCGAUAGAAGAAAACCCGCACACGGUUUGCCUCAAUCGGAAACAACCCCUGGCGCGAGAACGAUCUCCUAAGAAACGAAGAAUCAAAAGAAGCUAGAGAGAGAAAAGGAGGAGAAUUACCCGUUCUCCAAGUCUUCUAUACAUAUAUAUUCUACUGGGGUCGAUUGGGAUAAACCUAACAACAUAAUGACCAAAAGACCCCUUAC